Molecule: ribosomal RNA, 253 nt
Filed under: uncultured bacterium
Lineage: Bacteria
Description: partial 16S ribosomal RNA
Rfam family: Bacterial small subunit ribosomal RNA
Source: RNAcentral
UACGUAGGGUGCAAGCGUUGUCCGGAAUUAUUGGGCGUAAAGAGCUCGUAGGCGGUUUGUCGCGUCUGCUGUGAAAACCCGAGGCUCAACCUCGGGCCUGCAGUGGGUACGGGCAGACUAGAGUGCGGUAGGGGAGAUUGGAAUUCCUGGUGUAGCGGUGGAAUGCGCAGAUAUCGGGAGGAACACCGGUGGCGAAGGCGGUUCUCUGGAGCGCAACUGACGCUGAGACGCGAAAGCGUGGGGAGCAAACAGG